CCUAUGGGUGGCAGCAGUUGGGAAUCUUCCACAAUGGGCGAAAGCCUGAUGGAGCAACGCCGCGUGGGUGAAGAAGGUCUUCGGAUCGUAAAACCCUGUUGUUAGAGAAGAAAGUGCGUGAGAGUAACUGUUCACGUUUCGACGGUAUCUAACCAGAAAGCCACGGCUAACUACGUGCCAGCAGCCGCGGUAAUACGUAGGUGGCGAGCGUUAUCCGGAUUUAUUGGGCGUAAAGGGAACGCAGGCGGUCUUUUAAGUCUGAUGUGAAAGCCUUCGGCUUAACCGGAGUAGUGCAUUGGAAACUGGGGGACUUGAGUGCAGAAGAGGAGAGUGGAACUCCAGGUGUAGCGGUGAAAUGCGUAGAUAUAUGGAAGAACACCAGUGGCGAAGGCGGCUCUCUGGUCUGUGACUGACAUUGAUGCUCGAAAGUGUGGGUAUCAAACAGGAUUAGAUACCCCAGUAGUC
This 465-nucleotide ribosomal RNA is filed under the name uncultured bacterium. RNAcentral describes it as "partial 16S ribosomal RNA". It matches the Rfam family "Bacterial small subunit ribosomal RNA", at positions 338 to 795 of the family's 1533-position model. The record is from RNAcentral.